RNAcentral lists this non-coding RNA (23 nucleotides) under Arabidopsis thaliana (thale cress). Lineage: Eukaryota; Viridiplantae; Streptophyta; Magnoliopsida; Brassicales; Brassicaceae. The record is from RNAcentral.
AGCCGCGGUCUGUCUGCUGCCAC